AAAGCAGGCUGCAAUUGCAGUGCUUCAGUCUGUGGGAGCACUGCCAUGUCCCUGCUGAGAGCAACUCUGUGACUCAGAAUUUGGUUUCUCUUCUGUGCUGGAGAAAUCACUCUUUGAACAGUGACAGGCACUG
This 133-nucleotide small nucleolar RNA is filed under the name Pogona vitticeps (central bearded dragon). Its description in RNAcentral is "Small nucleolar RNA SNORA69 (ENSPVIG00000017197.1)". It matches the Rfam family "Small nucleolar RNA SNORA69". Rfam says of the family: U69 is a member of the H/ACA class of small nucleolar RNAs (snoRNAs) which act as guides in the the modification of uridines to pseudouridines. Lineage: Eukaryota; Metazoa; Chordata; Lepidosauria; Squamata; Agamidae. The record is from Rfam by way of RNAcentral.